AAGGGGGGACGGAGAAGGCUAUGUUGGCCGGGCGACGGUUGUCCCGGUUUAAGCGUGUAGGUGUGUGUUCCAGGUAAAUCCGGUUCACUUUAACACUGAGGCGUGAUGACGAGGCACUACGGUGCUGAAGCAACAAAUGCCCUGCUUCCAGGAAAAGCCUCUAAGCAUCAGGUAACAUCAAAUCGUACCCCAAACCGACACAGGUGGUCAGGUAGAGAAUACCAAGGCGCUUGAGAGAACUCGGGUGAAGGAACUAGGCAAAAUGGUGCCGUAACUUCGGGAGAAGGCACGCUGACACGUAGGUGAAGUGAUUUACUCA
This 319-nucleotide ribosomal RNA is filed under the name Salmonella enterica subsp. enterica serovar Kentucky. RNAcentral describes it as "partial 23S ribosomal RNA". It matches the Rfam family "Bacterial large subunit ribosomal RNA", at positions 1464 to 1772 of the family's 2925-position model. Lineage: Bacteria; Pseudomonadati; Pseudomonadota; Gammaproteobacteria; Enterobacterales; Enterobacteriaceae. The record is from RNAcentral.